GUUUGAUGGUCACGUGACCAGUAUACCUGCUCCUCGUAAAUUGGCUUCCUCCCAACUAUAUUACAAAUUUCGCGCGAUUUCUCUCACUAUCUGUCUAGAUUCAUCUUCCCUUCCAUUCCGGUUCCUUCAUUUCGAUUUCUCGAUCAUACUCUCAUCUUGCCAGUGUUCCUGAGCUUAUAUACCACGACAAUUUUGAACCACAUGCACAUCACUUGUUUGAUUCGUGUCGUCUCUCCCAUUUUCAACGCCCAGUUAAUAUGUAUCGCUAAAGCUUUGGGUGUUGUAAUGAUCCUGCUGACUGUUUUGAGGGUUUCUUUCUUUUGGUUUUUUUCUAAUAAUCAGCAGAAUUUCUUAAUAAGACUUGCAUUGCAGUAUAUAUAUAUGCCUUAAUUUUGUCUUAUAUAGUUUCUUAUGUGCUUAUCAUAAUUUGCGUGUAGUUGUAGUGUAUUGGUUUUGUCGUUAAGGAUGGUCGCGUUCGGGAAGAAGUUGAAAGAAAAUCAAAUUGAAGAAUGGCGAGAAUACUAUAUUGACUAUAAGUUUCUGAAGAAGAAAGUCAACCGUUAUACACAACAAAUUGAUGUUGGGGCAGAAAAUCAGCUAUAUGUUCUCAAGGAUUUCUCAAGAAUGCUGGACUGUCAGAUUGAAAAGAUUGUCUUGUUUCUGAUACAACAGCAAGGACUACUAGCAAGCAGAUUAUUGAAUCUAGGAGAAGAGCAUGAUGCUCUUUUACAGCAAUCAGAUGGUUCUAAAAUACCUGAACUACGAGAAGCAUAUAGAGUGGUUGGACAUGAUCUCUUAAAGCUCCUCUUCUUUGUGGAGAUGAAUGCUACUGGUUUACGAAAGAUUCUGAAGAAAUUUGAUAAGCGCUUUGGCUAUAGAUUUACUGAUUACUAUGUUAAAACCCGUGCAAACCAUCCUUAUUCCCAGCUGCAACAGGUGUUCAAGCAUGUGGUAAUAUGCUUUAAUGAAAAAUGUAUUCUUCAAAGUAUUUAUCCUUCAAUAAUCAUUAUUUUAAGUUAAUAACUCCCUGGAAUUAUGGCUCAUCAUGUAACUAGUUGCAGUUUUGUGUUCUUCUUUGGUACCUGAUAUUGAGUACUUGAGCAUGCAGGGCAUUGAGGCUGUUGUUGGAGCCAUAUCUCGUAAUCUUGCAGAUCUCCAAGAUCAUGAGGGGAACUACAUAUCAAUAUAUGAUCAGCCUUCAUUAAGCCACCCGGUUUUUUUCUCAUAUCCGUUGAAAAUUAUAAGCAGUAGUAUUGCCCCCUUUUGUUCUUUCUUAACGUUUUAAACAGUUCCCUUAAGUAUUUGUGGCCAUUCUUCAUGUUGUAUUUCAACAAUGCAUUGAGCGGCAUUUUCUUUUUCUUGGCAUGUGAAAAGACAAGUAGUCAUUUCAAUCUAGAGAAAUCUCAAACAAACCUGCCUGGAAUCACAUUAUGUGCACUGCAAUUUAUAAACAAUGAAAUAAUUGUCAUAAUUUCUGAAUAUAAAAUUUUUGAGACUAGAAUGGAGAAGUACUUUGAAGUAAAAAAUUUGACAUAAAUUGUUAUUAUAAUUUCUUGGAUUUAAUAAUGUUUCGCUAUACUGUAAAAAGACUAAGUGAGAUGCCAAACUUGAGCAUGUAAUGACAUCUGUCUUUAUAUUGAUUCAGAAAGUACUUUGCAUAUGUAAUUGACAUUUGAUGGAUAAUUUUGCAGGAUCCCAUCAUUGACUCUAUUAGAGCGGCUGUAAACAAGUUGUCAAACUCAACAAAUUUCCUUGAGUACUUGGGGAAGCAUGCAUUCAUUAUUCAAGAGGAAUUACCAACUUCCUCCGAAGAAAGUUUCAUUGAGCAGAAUUAUCAUUUUAUGUCACUUCUCCUGAACUUGGUGAACACGUUUCUUUAUAUGGUCAACACAUAU
This 1895-nucleotide unclassified non-coding RNA is filed under the name Hevea brasiliensis (rubber tree). The record is from RNAcentral. Lineage: Eukaryota; Viridiplantae; Streptophyta; Magnoliopsida; Malpighiales; Euphorbiaceae.